This 305-nucleotide ribosomal RNA is filed under the name uncultured bacterium. Its description in RNAcentral is "bacterial SSU rRNA". It matches the Rfam family "Bacterial small subunit ribosomal RNA", at positions 333 to 636 of the family's 1533-position model. The record is from RNAcentral.
GUAGACCUACGGGAGGCAGCAGUGAGGAAUAUUGGUCAAUGGCCGGAAGGCUGAACCAGCCAAGCCGCGUGAGGGAAGACGGCCCUAUGGGUUGUAAACCUCUUUUGUCGGAGAACAAAACCCGGGACGUGUCCCGGACUGCGUGUAUCCGAAGAAAAAGCAUCGGCUAACUCCGUGCCAGCAGCCGCGGUAAUACGGAGGAUGCGAGCGUUAUCCGGAUUUAUUGGGUUUAAAGGGUGCGUAGGCGGUCCGUUAAGUCAGCGGUAAAAUUGCGGGGCUCAACCCCGUCGAGCCGUUGAAACUGG